AUUUUCUUAACGUCUAUCUUCAAACGGAGGUUUAGUUGUUUAUCGUGUUUUUUUUUGGAUUCAGAAACCAAAAAUUGGCUGUUUUUCCCCCUGUUUCUUUGUUUUUGGUUUGAAACGACAAACAAAAAAGAGGUGGUUUUCUCGUUUGUUCAUUUCAUCGUUCAAACGAAAAAACAAACUAUCAGAACGUACAGGGACCAUGGUCGCCACCAACUCCUGAAAGUACCAUACACUGAGUAGAAUUGUUUUAAAAGAAUUACAAUUUAGCAGAUGUAUUGUAAAUCCUUGUUCCUGAUUGGUUAUUAAUCACGUGUUCACUUGAAAGUUGCCCUUUAAGUUUCCUUCUACACUUUGCCAUAAGUAGGAGUUGCUUGAUGAAUGUGUCUUAUUCUUCACUUCUUGUCUUAUUCUUCACUGUCAUGAACCAGGUCUGUAGCCAUGAAAAACAAGAGAGGGGAUGUGAUGUGACUUAUCCUAAACUGUCUCUUUAGAGCGUUCUUACAUGGAAUUGUUAGAAGUUUGAUGAAUACAGGCUUUGCUCUGCUUUUUCCACUGGAAAUGAAAAUUAUUCUGUUCUUCCUCUUGAAUCAUCUUGCAAAUCCUGGAAGUACACUGAGUCCCAACAACGAACAAUGAGCUGACGGUUGAAGGAAGAUGCGUGAGUCAUGCAGCAUUCGUGGUCGCCGCUGGGAGGCAAUGACACACAAGAAGGCUUGCACAAUGUGCCUCCUAUGUUUUGCCAGCUGUAGCUUGUUUGCCUUCAUUAUCCCCCCACUCCCCACCUCCCCAUCCUCUUUACUACUGCCACAACUGAUCUGAGUAUGAGAUGGAGCCAAAAGACUAAUGACGCAUUCGCCAUCCAGCAGUUGAGUAAACAGGACUGAGGCUCCCUGCUGGCUGCUGCAUGCGGUGACCUGGGAAUGAAGGAGCACAGUCGUGCUGACUCGGUGAAUCUGAACACCACAGAGGCUGGCUUGUCACAGUGCCAACCAUUCGAUUUGUUUAGAGACACAAUAUGGCCAUCUUGGCCGUGUGGUGGAAAAGACUCCAGGGGAGCCAGUACUUGCCAGCCAACUUUCUCUUGUCGCUCUUUCUCUCUUAUUUUUCACUGUGAGACCACACUCAGCAGGGAGCAGUUGAAGUAGGAAAUGCGCUUUCAUGGAAGAUUCAAAGCCGUGAUCAAACAUACAGUGUUCUCUGAAAUAAUUCAACAUUUUGACACUUUCAUUGUGUCUGCUUGAUUUAUGGCUCUCAGCCUCAUAACAUAUUCAUGUUGCUUGUUUACAUGUUUUUUUUUUUAUAGUUCUCUAAAAUAUCAUGAGUUUUUAUACGCAUUAUUUUAUUUCACGCAAAAAAAGCUUCUAACAAAUAAACCUGUUUGAAUUAUAUCUGCUAUGACAAAUAAAAGCCAUUAUCACUUCCA
Long non-coding RNA from Micropterus salmoides (largemouth bass), 1423 nucleotides. RefSeq lists it as uncharacterized. Lineage: Eukaryota; Metazoa; Chordata; Actinopteri; Centrarchiformes; Centrarchidae. The transcript has 2 exons. The record is from RefSeq and is a predicted model, not a curated record.